Molecule: ribosomal RNA, 461 nt
Filed under: uncultured bacterium
Lineage: Bacteria
Description: partial 16S ribosomal RNA
Rfam family: Bacterial small subunit ribosomal RNA
Source: RNAcentral
GACGAACGCUGGCGGCGUGCUUAACACAUGCAAGUCGAACGGUAAGGCCUUUCGGGGUACACGAGUGGCGAACGGGUGAGUAACACGUGGGUGAUCUGCCCUGCACUUCGGGAUAAGCCCGGGAAACUGGGUCUAAUACCGGAUAGGACUGCGCGGUGCAUGCAGUGUGGUGGAAAGAUUUAUCGGUGCAGGAUGGGCCCGCGGCCUAUCAGCUUGUUGGUGGGGUAAUGGCCUACCAAGGCGACGACGGGUAGCCGGCCUGAGAGGGCGACCGGCCACACUGGGACUGAGACACGGCCCAGACUCCUACGGGAGGCAGCAGUGGGGAAUAUUGCACAAUGGGCGCAAGCCUGAUGCAGCGACGCCGCGUGAGGGAUGACGGCCUUCGGGUUGUAAACCUCUUUCAGCAGGGACGAAGCGUGAGUGACGGUACCUGCAGAAGAAGCACCGGCCAACUACGU